This 90-nucleotide small RNA is filed under the name endosymbiont of unidentified scaly snail isolate Monju. RNAcentral describes it as "t44 RNA". It matches the Rfam family "t44 RNA". From Rfam's summary of the family: This family consists of a number of bacterial RNA genes of between 135 and 170 bases in length. The t44 gene is found between the map and rpsB genes in all species in the full alignment apart from Shigella flexneri. The record is from Rfam by way of RNAcentral. Lineage: Bacteria; Pseudomonadati; Pseudomonadota; Gammaproteobacteria.
CCGGGUGUCGCCGAAAUACACACACGCACUGCAACCAUCUCGGUCUGGGUGCCCGCAAGGGUGGGCCGGUGGGGUGCGUGGAGGCUCAAC